AUACGUAGGGGGCUAGCGUUAUCCGGAAUUACUGGGCGUAAAGGGUGCGUAGGUGGUUUCUUAAGUCAGAAGUGAAAGGCUACGGCUCAACCGUAGUAAGCUUUUGAAACUAAGAGACUUGAGUGCAGGAGAGGAGAGUAGGAUUCCUAGUGUAGCGGUGAAAUGCGUAGAUAUUAGGAGGAAUACCAGUUGCGAAGGCGGGUCUCUGGCCUGUAACUGACACUGAGGCACGAAAGCGGGGGGAGCAAACAGGAUUAGAUACCCUGGUAGUCCACGCCGUAAACGAUGAGUACUAGCUGUCGGGGGUUACCCCCCUCGGUGGCGCAGCUAACGCAUUAAGUACUCCGCCUGGGAAGUACGCUCGCAAGAGUGAAACUCAAAGGAAUUGACGGGG
This 394-nucleotide ribosomal RNA is filed under the name uncultured bacterium. Its description in RNAcentral is "partial 16S ribosomal RNA". It matches the Rfam family "Bacterial small subunit ribosomal RNA", at positions 523 to 918 of the family's 1533-position model. The record is from RNAcentral.